Brassica oleracea var. oleracea is the source of this 548-nucleotide long non-coding RNA. RefSeq lists it as uncharacterized. The transcript is spliced from 3 exons. The record is from RefSeq and is a predicted model, not a curated record. Lineage: Eukaryota; Viridiplantae; Streptophyta; Magnoliopsida; Brassicales; Brassicaceae.
UUCUUUUUGUCCAGUCUUCGUUUACAAAAAAUACGAAUCGACAAGAUCUAUGAUCGAUCGGCUGUAAUACGAAUCCAAGCUCUAGCCCUAGCCGCUCUGAAUGGUGUUAAUUUUCAACCAUUACUGUCGAUUUUUGGCGUUCGGGAUUAAUGAUAUCGCCAAGAUGCAGCAACAGUUUAGGUUUCGGAUCUCGGGAUCACGGAUCGUACCAUCCUCCCAGUUGAGAACUCUCUCUGUGGUUCGAUUCACAGAAGUUACUAUCUCCUCCUCUGUCACCGGAAAAGCCUAGCAAAAUUGUUUGCUCUACUGGCAUGGUUAAAGGAGCUCAUCCAUCUCCUCUUUCAAAAGGAAUUGGACGUCGCAAGGCUGCUUCAUCUAGCAUUACCUCUGUGCUUUAUCUCAAGGACGAGAUCACAAUUGCCACUGCUGGAGCACCAGAUAGGUACUUUCACAACGUUGAUUAGGUUCAUGUAAAGGGUAUUGCUACUUCAUAUAGCUUAUAGCAAUGUUUUUUACAUCCUUUAGUUUUUUUUUUCUGUAUAUCUCUC